This is a long non-coding RNA of Beta vulgaris subsp. vulgaris (sugar beet), 1128 nucleotides long. RefSeq lists it as uncharacterized. The record is from RefSeq and is a predicted model, not a curated record. Lineage: Eukaryota; Viridiplantae; Streptophyta; Magnoliopsida; Caryophyllales; Amaranthaceae. The transcript has 2 exons.
UGAUGCUCUGCAAAAGCCAUUAUUAAAACAGUAUAUUUUAUAUUGUCCUCAUUUCAUAUACAUCAUCUAGGGCAAUAGCUUCGUCAUUUUGUUGACUGUUUUGGCAGUCAAUCUUAACUUUUCAAGGAAUUUACUUCUUUCUUUUGGUAAGGAUGGUGAAGGUGAAACUAUUUUAUAUGAAAGAUUCAUUCAGAUAGAACAAAGAGGCCGCACCUCCAAACAUAAGACACAUGCUCAAUGCCAUCAGAUCAUACUUGGAAAGCCAUCUGGGAGUUGGCUUUACAUUUUUCUAAUCUAGCCAUUAAACUGAACUUGUGAGGCACGUUUGGUAGCUGAAACCAUUUCUUUCGUGCUGUAAAGAGCAGUGCAGUGGACGUAUAAUCGGUGAGCAAUGGAUAAAAUAUACAGAGAUUUAAGUUUAAGUAGGAGGUUUAUGGAUUAUUUUGGAGGUCAAUGAAUCUGAAGUCUAGGCAGAAGUGUGUCAAAGAGGUCAUCAUCUACAAUAAAGGCAAAGCCACCAGCAAGGUAUAAAGACAACUAAAUAAAAGCUCGGUACACCUAGUUUUGAAUCUUAACUGUGAAAAAAAGAACAAUUUUAUGCUCAAUGAUUCAGAAACACAAGAGUCCCUUUUGUCCUGUAAAAAUCCUAGAGAAAUUAGGCUACAAGAACAGAAAAUUAACCUCUUAUAGAGUAUCUGAUCAAGGAUACGUAAAAUCCCAAGCGAUGACGAUCCUCCAUGGGAAAUUUGCAAAAGUGCUCGCCUUUAGAAGAAUCAAUUGUACAUGAUACCAAUAGUUGAUGAGGUGUUGUAAUGCAGCUUCUACCAUGUAGGUUAUAUUCCUUUCGUCCCUUAAUAAAUGCAACAUUUUGGAUUUUGAACUUUUCCCAUACCUAAAUUUGACCAUAAUACUUUAAAACUAUAUUAUAACAAAUUUUAGUAGAUUGUCUCAAUAUAUAUUUCAAAAUAUCAACUUCUCAUAAUCGCGUAAUAAAGAUGGUUAAAGAUAUAUAUAGUCAAGUUGUGCAUAUGCAAAUGUGAAAGUCAAACUAUUUUUAACUGAGAGAGAGGGACUAUGAAGCAGGUUGAGCGAGCUAUGGUCUGCAAGCCAAGCUUUUCCACCUUGUAU